RNAcentral lists this ribosomal RNA (396 nucleotides) under Spilopelia chinensis (spotted dove). Its description in RNAcentral is "Streptopelia chinensis (spotted dove) partial 12S ribosomal RNA". It matches the Rfam family "Bacterial small subunit ribosomal RNA", at positions 794 to 1382 of the family's 1533-position model. Lineage: Eukaryota; Metazoa; Chordata; Aves; Columbiformes; Columbidae. The record is from RNAcentral.
GCCUGGCCCUAAAUCUUGAUGCCACAUACAACCAAAGCAUCCGCCCGAGAACUACGAGCACAAACGCUUAAAACUCUAAGGACUUGGCGGUGCCCCAAACCCACCUAGAGGAGCCUGUUCUAUAAUCGAUAACCCACGAUACACCCGACCACUUCUAGCCAAAACAGCCUACAUACCGCCGUCGCCAGCUCACCUCCUCUGAGAGUGCCACAGUGAGCACAAUCGCCCUAACCUCGCUAACAAGACAGGUCAAGGUAUAGCCUAUGAAGUGGUAGAAAUGGGCUACAUUUUCUAGCUUAGAAAACCCACGAAAAGGGGCAUGAAAGAGCCCCUAGAAGGCGGAUUUAGCAGUAAAGCGGGAUAAUAUAAGCCCCCUUUAAGCUGGCUCUGAGGCAC